Molecule: microRNA precursor, 195 nt
Filed under: Oryza meridionalis
Lineage: Eukaryota; Viridiplantae; Streptophyta; Magnoliopsida; Poales; Poaceae
Description: MIR812 microRNA precursor family
Rfam family: MIR812 microRNA precursor family
Source: Rfam by way of RNAcentral
AAAGACCGUAGUUUUACACUGUUUAUAUCUAAUAUUUAACUGUCCGUCUUAUUUAAUUUUUUAUCACUAGUAUUUUUAUUGUUAUUAUUAGAUGAUAAAAUAUGAAUAGUGUUUUAUGUGUAACUAAUUUUUUUAUAUUUUUUAAUAAGAUAAAUGGUUAAAUGUUGAAUAUAAAAAUCUACAACCGCGCUUAAA